UACGAAGGGGGCUAGCGUUGCUCGGAAUCACUGGGCGUAAAGCGCACGUAGGCGGAUCUUUAAGUCAGGGGUGAAAUCCUGGAGCUCAACUCCAGAACUGCCUUUGAUACUGCAAAUCUCGAGUCCGAUAGAGGUGGGUGGAAUUCCUAGUGUAGAGGUGAAAUUCGUAGAUAUUAGGAAGAACACCGGUGGCGAAGGCGGCCCACUGGAUCGGUACUGACGCUGAGGUGCGAAAGCGUGGGGAGCAAACAGG
This 253-nucleotide ribosomal RNA is filed under the name uncultured bacterium. RNAcentral describes it as "partial 16S ribosomal RNA". It matches the Rfam family "Bacterial small subunit ribosomal RNA", at positions 524 to 776 of the family's 1533-position model. The record is from RNAcentral.